CUUUACUGUAGCUUUGCAGUGGCAUUACGCUUGUUAUGUGUAGCAUAGGUGGGAGACUUUGAAGCUUGGGCGCUAGCCUGAGUGGAGUCAUUAGUGAAAUACCACCCUUGAUUUUCGUGAUGUCUAACCUCGUCCCCUUAUCGGGGACAGGGACCCUGCAUGGUAGGCAGUUUGACUGGGGCGGUCGCCUCCCAAAUUGUAACGGAGGCGCGCGAUGGUAGGCUCAGGUUGGUCGGAAAUCAACCUACGAGUGCAAUGGCAAAAGCCUGCCUGACUGUAACACUGACAAGUGGAGCAGAGACGAAAGUCGGUCAUAGUGAUCCGGUGGUUCCGCAUGGAAGGGCCAUCGCUCAACGAAUAAAAGGUA
RNAcentral lists this ribosomal RNA (367 nucleotides) under uncultured organism. RNAcentral describes it as "bacterial LSU rRNA". It matches the Rfam family "Bacterial large subunit ribosomal RNA", at positions 2099 to 2465 of the family's 2925-position model. The record is from RNAcentral.